Molecule: unclassified non-coding RNA, 537 nt
Filed under: Hevea brasiliensis (rubber tree)
Lineage: Eukaryota; Viridiplantae; Streptophyta; Magnoliopsida; Malpighiales; Euphorbiaceae
Source: RNAcentral
UUGCCACCGUUAGCCUUCAUACUUAAAUAUUUUUGACAGGGACGCUUCACCCUACAACCAAGAGAAAAUAAUUGUUGCAAGUGAAAAAAUAAGAAAACAAAUGAACCGAAAAGAGAGACAGAGAGAGAGAGAGAGAGAGAGAGAGAGAGAGAGAGAGAGAGAGAGAGAGAGAGAGAGAGAGAGAGAAGCAAAAUGAACAAGAUUGAUAUCAAUGCAGCCUUGUCAGCUCUUCCACUCUCUUGCACAGCUCCUCCAUUGAAACACCCAUUGCCUUGGCAAUCUCAUCCAUCCGACUGCGGCUGAGAUCAAGGAAUGAUUCUAUUAGAUCUCCAUCCAAGAAAUUUUUGGCAUCUACAGUUUUCUUCUCAUUGUUGAAUGAUCUCCAUUGCUCAUGGCUCAACCCUCCGACACCCUUGAUCACUUUCCUUAAGUUUGAUUGGAGCUUCUCCAAAAAGACAUAUUGCUCGUGACGAAGUGAAGCUAUCACUCCAAUUACACCAUUAACAGUGCCAAAAAUAACAGUUGGGAUUUGGCCCA